UUUUAUUGUUUAUAAAGAUUUUAUAAUUUUUUUAAUUUCUUUAUUAAUAUAUUAUAUUAAAUUAAAAUUUAUAAGUAAUUAUGAUUAAAUUAGUAUAAAUUGUUGUAAAAUAAAUUAUAAUUUGAAGAUUAAAUUAAGGAAUUCGGCAAAUUUAUUUUCUGCCUGUUUAUUAAAAACAUGUCUUUUUGUAAUUAUUUAAAGUCGGGCCUGCCCUAUGAUUAUUUAAAUGGCCGCGGUAUUUUGACCGUGCAAAGGUAGCAUAAUAAUUAGUUUCUUAAUUAGAAGCUGGUAUGAAGGGUUUGACAAGAAAAUUUCUGUCUCAAUUUAAAUAUUAGAAUUUAACUUUUGAGUUAAAAGGCUUAAAUUUUUUUAAAAGACGAGAAGACCCUAUAGAAUUUUACUAAUUAAUUUAUUUAAAAUUUUAUGGAUUAUUUAUUUUUAGUUAAAUUAUUUGUUUUGUUGGGGUGAUGGAAAAACUAAAAUAACUUUUUCUUAUUUUAUUCAUUAAUUUAUGA
This 515-nucleotide ribosomal RNA is filed under the name Platycerus urushiyamai. Its description in RNAcentral is "partial 16S ribosomal RNA". The stretch from base 129 to 328 matches the Rfam family "Archaeal large subunit ribosomal RNA", at positions 1797 to 2106 of the family's 2987-position model. Lineage: Eukaryota; Metazoa; Arthropoda; Insecta; Coleoptera; Lucanidae. The record is from RNAcentral.